This 421-nucleotide ribosomal RNA is filed under the name uncultured bacterium. RNAcentral's name for it is "partial 16S ribosomal RNA". It matches the Rfam family "Bacterial small subunit ribosomal RNA", at positions 361 to 774 of the family's 1533-position model. The record is from RNAcentral.
AUAUUGGACAAUGGGGGCAACCCUGAUCCAGCUAUGCCGCGUGUGUGACGUAGUACUUCGGAUUGUAAAGCACUUUAAGUUGGGAAGAAGUGCUUUAGGCUAAUACCCUGAAGAUUUGACGUUACCAACAGAUUAAGCACCGGCUAACUCUGUGCCAGCAGCCGCGGUAAUACAGAGGGUGCAAGCGUUAAUCGGAAUUACUGGGCGUAAAGCGCGCGUAGGUGGUUCAGUAAGAUGGGUGUGAAAUCCCCGGGCUUAACCUGGGAACUGCUUUCAUAACUGCUGAGCUAGAGUACGGUAGAGGGUAGUGGAAUUUCCUGUGUAGCGGUGAAAUGCGUAGAUAUAGGAAGGAACACCAGUGGCGAAGGCGACUACCUGGACUGAUACUGACACUGAGGUGCGAAAGCGUGGGGAGCAAACA